AUCCUGAGUACGACGGAGCACGUGAAAUUCCGUCGGAAUCUGGGAGGACCAUCUCCUAAGGCUAAAUACUCUCUAGUGACCGAUAGUGAACCAGUACCGUGAGGGAAAGGUGAAAAGCACCCCGGAAGGGGAGUGAAAUAGAACCUGAAACCGUGUGCUUACAAGUAGUCAGAGCCCGUUAAUGGGUGAUGGCGUGCCUUUUGUAGAAUGAACCGGCGAGUUACGAUUUGAUGCAAGGUUAAGCAGUAAAUGUGGAGCCGUAGCGAAAGCGAGUCUGAAUAGGGCGUUUAGUAUUUGGUCGUAGACCCGAAACCAGGUGAUCUACCCUUGGUCAGGUUGAAGUUCAGGUAACACUGAAUGGAGGACCGAACCGACUUACGUUGAAAAGUGAGCGGAUGAACUGAGGGUAGCGGAGAAAUUCCAAUCGAACCUGGAGAUAGCUGGUUCUCUCCGAAAUAGCUUUAGGGCUAGCCUCAAGUGAUGAUUAUUGGAGGUAGAGCACUGUUUGGACGAGGGGCCCCUCUCGGGUUACCGAAUUCAGACAAACUCCGAAUGCCAAUUAAUUUAACUUGGGAGUCAGAACAUGGGUGAUAAGGUCCGUGUUCGAAAGGGAAACAGCCCAGACCACCAGCUAAGGUCCCAAAAUAUAUGUUAAGUGGAAAAGGAUGUGGCGUUGCCCAGACAACUAGGAUGUUGGCUUAGAAGCAGCCAUCAUUUAAAGAGUGCGUAAUAGCUCACUAGUCGAGUGACACUGCGCCGAAAAUGUACCGGGGCUAAACAUAUUACCGAAGCUGUGGAUUGUCCUUUGGACAAUGGUAGGAGAGCGUUCUAAGGGCGUUGAAGCAUGAUCGUAAGGACAUGUGGAGCGCUUAGAAGUGAGAAUGCCGGUGUGAGUAGCGAAAGACGGGUGAGAAUCCCGUCCACCGAUUGACUAAGGUUUCCAGAGGAAGGCUCGUCCGCUCUGGGUUAGUCGGGUCCUAAGCUGAGGCCGACAGGCGUAGGCGAUGGAUAACAGGUUGAUAUUCCUGUACCACCUAUAAUCGUUUUAAUCGAUGGGGGGACGCAGUAGGAUAGGCGAAGCGUGCGAUUGGAUUGCACGUCUAAGCAGUAAGGCUGAGUAUUAGGCAAAUCCGGUACUCGUUAAGGCUGAGCUGUGAUGGGGAGAAGACAUUGUGUCUUCGAGUCGUUGAUUUCACACUGCCGAGAAAAGCCUCUAGAUAGAAAAUAGGUGCCCGUACCGCAAACCGACACAGGUAGUCAAGAUGAGAAUUCUAAGGUGAGCGAGCGAACUCUCGUUAAGGAACUCGGCAAAAUGACCCCGUAACUUCGGGAGAAGGGGUGCUCUUUAGGGUUAACGCCCAGAAGAGCCGCAGUGAAUAGGCCCAAGCGACUGUUUAUCAAAAACACAGGUCUCUGCUAAACCGUAAGGUGAUGUAUAGGGGCUGACGCCUGCCCGGUGCUGGAAGGUUAAGAGGAGUGGUUAGCUUCUGCGAAGCUACGAAUCGAAGCCCCAGUAAACGGCGGCCGUAACUAUAACGGUCCUAAGGUAGCGAAAUUCCUUGUCGGGUAAGUUCCGACCCGCACGAAAGGCGUAACGAUUUGGGCACUGUCUCAACGAGAGACUCGGUGAAAUCAUAGUACCUGUGAAGAUGCAGGUUACCCGCGACAGGACGGAAAG
Molecule: ribosomal RNA, 1678 nt
Filed under: Staphylococcus aureus
Lineage: Bacteria; Bacillati; Bacillota; Bacilli; Caryophanales; Staphylococcaceae
Description: partial 23S ribosomal RNA
Rfam family: Bacterial large subunit ribosomal RNA
Source: RNAcentral